ACGAACGCUGGCGGCAUGCCUAACACAUGCCAGUCGAACGAGACCUUCGGGUCUAGUGGCGCACGGGUGCGUAACGCGUGGGAACCUGCCCUUAGGUUCGGAAUAACUCCCCGCAAGGGGUGCUAAUACCGGAUAAUGUCUUCGGACCAAAGAUUUAUCGCCUUUGGAUGGGCCCGCGUUGGAUUAGCUAGUUGGUAGGGUAAAAGCCUACCAAGGCGACGAUCCAUAGCUGGUCUGAGAGGAUGAUCAGCCACACUGGGACUGAGACACGGUCCAGACUCCUACGGGAGGCAGCAGUGGGGAAUAUUGGACAAUGGGCGAAAGCCUGAUCCAGCAAUGCCGCGUGAGUGAUGAAGGCCUUAGGGUUGUAAAGCUCUUUUACCCGGGAUGAUAAUGACAGUACCGGGAGAAUAAGCUCCGGCUAACUCCGUG
RNAcentral lists this ribosomal RNA (432 nucleotides) under uncultured bacterium. RNAcentral describes it as "partial 16S ribosomal RNA". It matches the Rfam family "Bacterial small subunit ribosomal RNA", at positions 29 to 507 of the family's 1533-position model. The record is from RNAcentral.